This 467-nucleotide ribosomal RNA is filed under the name uncultured bacterium. Its description in RNAcentral is "partial 16S ribosomal RNA". It matches the Rfam family "Bacterial small subunit ribosomal RNA", at positions 28 to 506 of the family's 1533-position model. The record is from RNAcentral.
GACGAACGCUGGCGGCGUGCUUAACACAUGCAAGUCGAACGGAAAGGCCCUGCUUUUGUGGGGUGCUCGAGUGGCGAACGGGUGAGUAACACGUGAGUAACCUGCCCUUGACUUUGGGAUAACUUCAGGAAACUGGGGCUAAUACCGGAUAGGAGCUCCUGCUGCAUGGUGGGGGUUGGAAAGUUUCGGCGGUUGGGGAUGGACUCGCGGCUUAUCAGCUUGUUGGUGGGGUAGUGGCUUACCAAGGCUUUGACGGGUAGCCGGCCUGAGAGGGUGACCGGCCAAAUGGGGAAAGAGAAACGGCCCAGACCCCUAGGGGGGGCAGGAGGGGGGAAUUUUGCAAAAGGGGCGGAAGCCUGAUGCCGCAACGCCGCGGGGGGGAAGACGGCCUUCGGGUUGUAAACCGCUUUCGCCGGUGACGAAGCGGGGGUGACGGUAAUGGGGAAAGAAGCACCGGCUAACUACGG